GACGAACGCUGGCUGCGUGCUUAACACAUGCAAGUCGAACGGAAAGGCCCUGCUUUUGUGGGGUGCUCGAGUGGCGAACGGGUGAGUAACACGUGAGUAACCUGCCCUUGACUUUGGGAUAACUUCAGGAAACUGGGGCUAAUACCGGAUAGGAGCUCCUGCUGCAUGGUGGGGGUUGGAAAGUUUCGGCGGUUGGGGAUGGACUCGCGGCUUAUCAGCUUGUUGGUGGGGUAGUGGCUUACCAAGGCUUUGACGGGUAGCCGGCCUGAGAGGGUGACCGGCCACAUUGGGACUGAGAUACGGCCCAGACUCCUACGGGAGGCAGCAGUGGGGAAUAUUGCACAAUGGGCGGAAGCCUGAUGCAACAACGCCGCGUGCGGGAUGACGGCCUUCGGGUUGUAAACCGCUUUCGCCUGUGACGAAGCGUGAGUGACGGUAAUGGGUAAAGAAGCACCGGCUAACUACGUGCCAGCAGCCGCGGUGAUACGUAGGGUGCGAGCGUUGUCCGGAUUUAUUGGGCGUAAAGGGCUCGUAGGUGGUUGAUCGCGUCGGAAGUGUAAUCUUGGGGCUUAACCCUGAGCGUGCUUUCGAUACGGGUUGACUUGAGGAAGGUAGGGGAGAAUGGAAUUCCUGGUGGAGCGGUGGAAUGCGCAGAUAUCAGGAGGAACACCAGUGGCGAAGGCGGUUCUCUGGGCCUUUCCUGACGCUGAGGAGCGAAAGCGUGGGGAGCGAACAGGCUUAGAUACCCUGGUAGUCCACGCUGUAAACGGUGGGUACUAGGUGUGGGGUCCAUUCCACGGGUUCCGUGCCGUAGCUAACGCUUUAAGUAUCCCGCCUGGGGAGUACGGCCGCAAGGCUAAAACUCAAAGGAAUUGACGGGGCCCCGCACAAGCGGCGGAGCAUGCGGAUUAAUUCGAUGCAACGCGUAGAACCUUACCUGGGUUUGACAUGGAUCGGGAGUGCUCAGAGAUGGGUGUGCCUCUUUUGGGGUCGGUUCACAGGUGGUGCAUGGCUGUCGUCAGCUCGUGUCGUGAGAUGUUGGGUUAAGUCCCGCAACGAGCGCAACCCUUGUUCACUGUUGCCAGCACGUUAUGGUGGGGACUCAGUGGAGACCGCCGGGGUCAACUCGGAGGAAGGUGGGGAUGACGUCAAGUCAUCAUGCCCCUUAUGUCCAGGGCUUCACGCAUGCUACAAUGGCUGGUACAGAGAGUGGCGAGCCUGUGAGGGUGAGCGAAUCUCGGAAAGCCGGUCUCAGUUCGGAUUGGGGUCUGCAACUCGACCUCAUGAAGUCGGAGUCGCUAGUAAUCGCAGAUCAGCAACGCUGCGGUGAAUACGUUCCCGGGGCU
RNAcentral lists this ribosomal RNA (1346 nucleotides) under uncultured bacterium. RNAcentral describes it as "partial 16S ribosomal RNA". It matches the Rfam family "Bacterial small subunit ribosomal RNA", at positions 28 to 1381 of the family's 1533-position model. The record is from RNAcentral.